This 720-nucleotide ribosomal RNA is filed under the name Dietzia sp. IBT6499-C01. RNAcentral describes it as "bacterial SSU rRNA". It matches the Rfam family "Bacterial small subunit ribosomal RNA", at positions 98 to 832 of the family's 1533-position model. Lineage: Bacteria; Bacillati; Actinomycetota; Actinomycetes; Mycobacteriales; Dietziaceae. The record is from RNAcentral.
GCGAACGGGUGAGUAACACGUGGGUAAUCUGCCCUGCACUUCGGGAUAAGCCUGGGAAACUGGGUCUAAUACCGGAUAUGAACUCCUGCCGCAUGGUGGGGGUUGGAAAGUUUUUCGGUGCAGGAUGAGCCCGCGGCCUAUCAGCUUGUUGGUGGGGUAAUGGCCUACCAAGGCGACGACGGGUAGCCGGCCUGAGAGGGUGAUCGGCCACACUGGGACUGAGACACGACCCACUACUCCUACGGGAGGCAGCAGUGGGGAAUAUUGCACAAUGGGCGAAAGCCUGAUGCAGCGGCGCCGCGUGGGGGAUGACGGUCUUCGCAUUGUAAACCCGUUUCAGUAGGGACGAAGCGCAAGUGACGGUACCUGCAGAAGAAGCACCGGCUAACUACGUGCCAGCAGCCGCGGUAAUACGUAGGGUGCGAGCGUUGUCCGGAAUUACUGGGCGUAAAGAGCUCGUAGGCGGUUUGUCACGUCGUCUGUGAAAUCCCUCGGCUUAACCGGGGGCGUGCAGGCGAUACGGGCAGACUUGAGUACUACAGGGGAGACUGGAAUUCCUGGUGUAGCGGUGAAAUGCGCAGAUAUCAGGAGGAACACCGGUGGCGAAGGCGGGUCUCUGGGUAGUAACUGACGCUGAGGAGCGAAAGCAUGGGUAGCGAACAGGAUUAGAUACCCUGGUAGUCCAUGCCGUAAACGGUGGGCGCUAGGUGUGGGGUCCUU